UACGUAGGAGACAAACGUUAUCCGGAGUUACUGGGCGCAAAGGGCGUGUAGGUGGUUUCGUAAGUCUGGCGUGAAAUUUUUCGGCUUAACCGGGAAAGGUCGUCGGAUACUGCGGGACUGGAGGACGGUAGAGGCGUGUGGAAUUCCGGGUGUAGUGGUGAAAUGCGUAGAGAUCCGGAGGAACACCAGUGGCGAAGGCGACACGCUGGGCCGUACCUGACACUGAUGCGCGACAGCAUGGGGAGCAAACAGG
RNAcentral lists this ribosomal RNA (253 nucleotides) under uncultured bacterium. RNAcentral's name for it is "partial 16S ribosomal RNA". It matches the Rfam family "Bacterial small subunit ribosomal RNA", at positions 524 to 776 of the family's 1533-position model. The record is from RNAcentral.